CUUCCCGGGUCCUCCCUGCGUGGAGUUUGCAUGUUCUCCCCAUGUCUGCGUGGGUUUCCUCCCACAUCCAAAGACAUGCAGGUUAGGUGCAUUGGCGAUUCUAAAUUGUCUCUAGUGUGUGCUUGGUGUGUGUGUGUGCGCGCGUGCGCCCUGCGGUGGGUUGGCGCCCUGCCCGGGGUUUGUUUCCUGCCUUGCGCCCUGUGUUGGCUGGGAUUGGCUCCAGCAGACCCCCCGUGACCCUGUAGUUAGGAUAUAGCGGGUUGGAUAAUGGAUGGAUGGAUGAAUACAUUU
Long non-coding RNA from Erpetoichthys calabaricus (reedfish), 291 nucleotides. RefSeq lists it as uncharacterized. The record is from RefSeq and is a predicted model, not a curated record. NCBI's taxonomy places the organism in Eukaryota, Metazoa, Chordata, Cladistia, Polypteriformes, Polypteridae. The transcript has 2 exons.